This is a small nucleolar RNA of Mus pahari (shrew mouse), 142 nucleotides long. RefSeq annotates it as small nucleolar RNA SNORA48. The record is from RefSeq and is a predicted model, not a curated record. NCBI's taxonomy places the organism in Eukaryota, Metazoa, Chordata, Mammalia, Rodentia, Muridae. The transcript has a single exon.
UUCCCUGGUAAUGGGCAAAAGGACACCAUAGUGGUGGUGGUACUCUUACAUCAGUCAGGGCAGAGCAGAAGGCAGUCCUUUGUUCAUCCUAGCUUGAUGCCUACGUUGGUGGCCAAAGCUGUUUUAUGCCUAGGACUCAUCC